GGCUGGUCCAAAGGUAGUGAGUUAUCUCACUUGAUUGUUCACAGUCAGUUACAAAUUGAACUCCUUGUUCUACUAACUUUCCCACCUUCUCACUACUGCAUUUGACUAAUCUAAA
This 115-nucleotide Y RNA is filed under the name Prolemur simus (greater bamboo lemur). Its description in RNAcentral is "Y RNA (ENSPSMG00000020307.1)". It matches the Rfam family "Y RNA". Rfam says of the family: Y RNAs are components of the Ro ribonucleoprotein particle (Ro RNP), in association with Ro60 and La proteins. The Y RNAs and Ro60 and La proteins are well conserved, but the function of the Ro RNP is not known. The record is from Rfam by way of RNAcentral. Lineage: Eukaryota; Metazoa; Chordata; Mammalia; Primates; Lemuridae.